Molecule: ribosomal RNA, 800 nt
Filed under: Ptychadena sp. BMZ-2014a
Lineage: Eukaryota; Metazoa; Chordata; Amphibia; Anura; Ptychadenidae
Description: partial 16S ribosomal RNA
Rfam family: Bacterial large subunit ribosomal RNA
Source: RNAcentral
CCCUUUCCUCCCUUCAACCCGUUAUUUAUACUGAGUGAUUUUAUAUUUUUAUAAAAGCCAUUAUGCUAGAACUAGUAACAAAGAAACAGAAUUUCUCCAAAAUGAUAGCUAAAGCCACAAUGAACCACCCAUUGGCAAUUAACGUAGUUGAUUCCAUUACAGCAACCUUCAACUAGAAAAACCUGUAAAAUUUUGACGUUAACCUAACACAAGCCCAUUUCCGGAAGAUUAAAAGAAAAAGAAGGAAUUCGGCAAUAAUGACCUCGCCUGUUUACCAAAAACAUCGCCUCUUGACAAAACAUAAGAGGUCCCGCCUGCCCACUGAAAAUUCAACGGCCGCGGUACUCUGACCGUGCAAAGGUAGCACAAUCACUUGUUCUUUAAAUAAGGACUAGAAUCAAUGGCAUCACGAGGGUCCUACUGUCUCCUUUUUCUAAUCAGUGAAACUGAUCUCCCCGUGAAGAAGCGGGGAUAACUUUAUAAGACGAGAAGACCCCAUGGAGCUUCAAACUCAAUAGUUAACUCAUGUAAGCCACAUGACAACUAAGAGAUAUAACUAUUAAUUUUGGGUUGGGGUGACCACGGAGAAUAACACAACCUCCACAAUGAAAAGAAUAAUACCUUUAUCUAUGAGUCACAUUUCUAAGAAUUAGUAAACUAACAUAAAAUGAUCCGAUAAUAUCAUUCGAUCAAUGAACCAAGUUACCCUGGGGAUAACAGCGCCAUCCACUUUGAGAGUUCAUAUCGACAAGUGGGUUUACGACCUCGAUGUUGGAUCAGGGUUCCCAGUGGUGCAGCCG